GAUGAACGCUGGCGGCGUGCCUAAUACAUGCAAGUCGAGCGAACAGACGAGGAGCUUGCUCCUCUGACGUUAGCGGCGGGCGGGUGAGUAACACGUGGAUAACCUACCUAUAAGACUGGGAUAACUUCGGGAAACCGGAGCUAAUACCGGAUAAUAUAUUGAACCGCAUGGUUCAAUAGUGAAAGACGGUUUUGCUGUCACUUAUAGAUGGAUCCGCGCCGCAUUGGCUAGUUGGUAAGGUAACGGCUUACCAAGGCAACGAUGCGUAGCCGACCUGAGAGGGUGAUCGGCCACACUGGAACUGAGACACGGUCCAGACUCCUACGGGAGGCAGCAGUAGGGAAUCUUCCGCAAAGGGCGAAAGCCUGACGGAGCAACGCCGCGUGAGUGAUGAAGGUCUUCGGAUCGUAAAACUCUGUUAUUAGGGAAGAACAAAUGUGUAAGUAACUAUGCACGUCGUGACGGUACCUAAUCAGAAAGCCACGGCUAACUACGUG
RNAcentral lists this ribosomal RNA (497 nucleotides) under uncultured bacterium. RNAcentral's name for it is "partial 16S ribosomal RNA". It matches the Rfam family "Bacterial small subunit ribosomal RNA", at positions 28 to 507 of the family's 1533-position model. The record is from RNAcentral.